GGAGUAUUCUGGUGGUGGUUGUGACGUCACUCCGGAGCCUCGUCAGCUGAUUGAGGAGUGAGGGAGUGAAGAUAAGGGAGAUAGAGAGUGAUUGAAUAGGAUAAGGAGGAGGGAGGAGAUAAGGGUGAAUGCAAGGAUUAGGGAGUGAGGGAGUGAAGAUAAGGGAGAUCGAGUGAUUGGAAAGGAUAAUGAGGAAGGAAGGGAGAGAUUAGGGUGAAUGCAAGGAUUAGGGAUAUGAUUGGAGGGAGUGAUUGGAUAGAAGAGUGAGGAAGGAAGGGAGAGAUUAGUGAAUGCAAGGAUUAGGGAUAUGAUUGGAGGGAGUGAUUGGAUAGAAGAGUGAGGAAGGAAGGGAGAGAUUAGUGAAUGCAAGGAUUAGGGAUAUGAUUGGAGGGAGUGAUUGGAUAGAAGAGUGAGGAAGGAAGGGAGAGAUCAAGGUGAAUGCAAGGAUUAGGGAUAUGAUUGGAGGGAGUGAUUGGAUAGAAGAGUGAGGAAGGAAGGGAGAGAUCAAGGUGAAUGCAAGGAUUAGGGAUAUGAUUGGAGGGAGUGAUUGGAUAGAAGAGUGAGGAAGGAAGGGAGAGAUUAGUGAAUGCAAGGAUUAGGGAUAUGAUUGGAGGGAGUGAUUGGAUAUAUAGAAGAGGAGUGAGGAAGGAAGGAAAAGAUUAGGGAUAUGAUUGGAGGGAGUGAUUGGAUAUAUAGAAAAGAGGAGUGAGGAAGGACGGAAGGGAUAAGGGUGAAUGAAAAGAUUAGGGAGUGAAGAUGAGAGAGGGAGUGAGCAUAAGAGAGAAGGGAGUGAUUGGGUAUAAGAAGGAGAGUGAGAGAGGAGUAAAGAGAUAGGGGUGACUUAAAAGGAUAUGGGAGUGAAUUGGGAGUAGGGAAAGGGAGUGAGUAGUUUGUUAAAGGGAUAUAAGGGAGUAAAUAAGGGAGGGUUUGACUAGAAGGGGAGUGAGGAAGAAAGGGAGUUAUGGGAGUGAAUGUGAUGGUGUAGAAAGACGAGAAGAAGAGGGGAGGGAGGAGUGUUUGGAUGGAGGGUGGAGUGAGGAAGAGAGGGAGGGAGUAAAUACAAAGGGAAAGUAAAUGAGGAAGGGAGAGAAGGGAGUAAAUGAUAUGAGUAAAGAAGGGAGAGGAGUGGAUACAAUAAGAGGAGGGAUAUGAGGGAGUAAAGAGAGAGGGAAAGUGGAGGACGGGAGGAAUGGGCGGUUUAUGAAUGGAAGGGAGGGAAAAAAAGGGAGAGGAAGUCAGGAAAGGGAGUGAAUGGGAAAUUGGAGGAAGUAAUGAGGGGAGUGACUGGAAGAGGGGAAAGGAGGGAGGGAAAAGUGGAGGCAUAGCGACAAAGGGAGGAAGGGAGGGAGAGAGAGAAAGGGAGGAAGGGAGGGACAUUUAAAGGGAGAGAACGGAGGGAGGGAGACAAAAGGAAAAAAAGUAUGAGGGAAAGAAUGAUGCGUAGGAGAGAGAGAGAGAGAGAGAGAGAGAGAGAGAGAGAGAGAGAGAGAGAGAGAGAGAGAGAGAAAUCAUUGUGUGAAUGGGUGAGUGACUGUGUGUGUGUGGUAGAAUUGAGGACAAGAGUGAAGGGGAGGGAGAACAGGGCACCACCACCACCACCACCAUCAUCAUCAUCAUCAUCAUCAUCACCAUCACCACCAUCAUCACCACCACCACCAUCAUCACCACCACCACCACCAUCAUCACCACCAUCAUCAUCAUCAUCAUCAUCAUCAUCAUCAUCAUCAUCAUCAUCAUCAUCAUCAUCACCACCACCACCACCACCACCAUCAUCAUCAUCAUCAUCAUCAUCAUCAUCAUCAUCAUCACCACCACCAGCUGAAUGAGGAGUGAAUGAAAGAAUGAAUGAAAGUUUACUCAUGGUCACUCCUCCUCCUCCUCCUCUUCUUCCUCCUCCUCCUCCUCCUCCUCCUCCUCCUCCUCCUCCUCCUCCUUGUGAUUUAUGUUUUCUUUUUUUUUUCGUCCAUAAUGUCAACUUUCAUCUUCCCAAAUCUGAUCGUAAAGAGAGAGAGAGAGAGAGAGAGAGAGAGAGAGAGAGAGAGAGAGAGAGAGAGAGAGAGAGAGAGAGAGAGAGAAACGAGUUUGAAAUUGUUUAUUGUCUCGACUUUUCCUUUAUUUUUUUUUCUUAAUGUCUGGUUCAUUAUUGUUGUUGUUGUUGUUAUUAGUGGUAGUAGUAGUAAUAGUAGUAGUCGUGGUAGUAGUGGCAGUUUUAGGAUUACAACUACUACUACUACUACUACUACUACUACUACUACUACUACUACUACUACUACUACUACUACUACUACUACUACUACCACCACCACCACCACCAAUAUUAUACGCAGAAGAAUAUCACAAACAAACAAAUAAAAAUAAAUAAAAGUAAAACGAAAAAAGAAAAGACUAAAAAGAUAAGAGAAAGAAAAUAAGAAGGGAGAGAAAAAAAGACAAAGAAAAACAAGAAAAAAAAUAACGAAAAGGAGGAAAACAAGAGAAAGACGAGAAAGAGAGAGAGAGAGAAAGGAAACAAGAAAAAAAAAAGAUAAUAUAGAAGAAGCUUAACUUUAAUCCAUAUAAAUGUCUUCUAGUCCACACGAAGGCUUAGCAACGUGACUAUAAGAACAAACCAGCAAAUAAUAAUAAUAAUAAUAAUAAUAAUAAUAAUAAUAAUAAUAAUAACGAAGCCUCACCUAACAAACGCCACCAGUAAUGAAGGACACGUGUUUGCUAAUGAGUGUUUAAAGUCAUGGCGAGCUGAUGAAUGCGUGUCAAGAGUUCAAGGGAAGAAGAAGAAGAAGAAGAAGAAGAAGAAGAAGAAGAAGAAGAAGAAGAAGAAUACGUUUAGAAAAGAGAAUCAGAAACAAGUGUACAAGUGAAUGAAGGACUUGUUAGUAGAUAGGCAGGUAGGAAAGUUAGGUAGAUAGAUAAGCAGGUAGAUAGGGAGGAAGAAGAAGAAGAAGAAGAAGAAUACGUUUAGAAAAGAGAAUCAUAAAUAAGUGUACAGGUGAAUGAAGGACUUGUUAGUAGAUAGGCAGGUAGGAAAGUUAGGUAGAUAGAUAAGCAGGUAGAUAGGAAGAAAGAAGAAGAAGAAGAAUACAUAUAGAAAAGAGAAUCAUAUAAUCAAGGACUUGUUAAUAGAUAGAUAGUUAAGUAGGAAAGUUAGGUAGAUAGAUAGAUCGGUGCUAGGUAGAUAGUUAAGCAGGUAGAUAGGGAGGAAGAAGAAGAAGAAGACCCCCAAAAAAGUAAAUACAUGGCAAGCAAAUAGAUAAAAUAUAUAAAUGGAGUAAAUAAAUGUGAUGAAAAGACACAAAAAUAAAAAGAGAAGGAAAAGUCGUGGACGAAAAGAGGAAGAAGGAUCGUAGACAAAAAAAAGACCCAGUAUUAUUAAAUGGAAUGAAAGAAGGAUGGGAAGGAGGAAAAGAA
Eriocheir sinensis (Chinese mitten crab) is the source of this 3405-nucleotide long non-coding RNA. RefSeq lists it as uncharacterized. NCBI's taxonomy places the organism in Eukaryota, Metazoa, Arthropoda, Malacostraca, Decapoda, Varunidae. The record is from RefSeq and is a predicted model, not a curated record. The transcript is spliced from 4 exons.